Molecule: small nuclear RNA, 102 nt
Organism: Talpa occidentalis (Iberian mole)
Lineage: Eukaryota; Metazoa; Chordata; Mammalia; Eulipotyphla; Talpidae
Source: RefSeq, a predicted model, not a curated record
GGUUUAUAGUUGCUUGUUGAUUUAAUUGGAAUGAUACAGAGAAGAUUAUCAUGGCCCCUGCGCAAGGAUGACACGCAAAUUCAUGAGGCCUCCUUUCCUUUU